AGGACGAACGCUGGCGGCGUGCCUAACACAUGCAAGGUCGAACGGGGAUUUGUUUCGGCAGAAUCCUAGUGGCGAACGGGUGAGUAACGCGUAGGCAACCUGCCCUCCGGCCGGGGACAACACUCCGAAAGGGGUGCUAAUACCGGAUACGAAGUCUGUGCCGCAUGGUACGGAUUUGAAAGAUGGCCUCUGUUUACAAGCUAUCGCCGGGGGAUGGGCCUGCGUCCGAUUAGCUGGUUGGUGGGGUAACGGCCUACCAAGGCGACGAUCGGUAGCCGGUCUGAGAGGAUGAACGGCCACAUUGGGACUGAGACACGGCCCAGACUCCUACGGGAGGCAGCAGUGGGGAAUCUUCCGCAAUGGGCGCAAGCCUGACGGAGCAACGCCGCGUGAGUGAGGAAGUUCUUCGGAACGUAAAGCUCUGUUGUUCCUGACGAACCUCCCUUCUAUCAACAACGGAGGGGACUGACGGUAGGGAACGAGGAAGCCACGGCUAACUACGUGCCAGCCGCGGC
RNAcentral lists this ribosomal RNA (515 nucleotides) under uncultured bacterium. RNAcentral describes it as "bacterial SSU rRNA". It matches the Rfam family "Bacterial small subunit ribosomal RNA", at positions 26 to 518 of the family's 1533-position model. The record is from RNAcentral.